This 139-nucleotide microRNA precursor is filed under the name Ipomoea nil (Japanese morning glory). RNAcentral describes it as "mir-395 microRNA precursor family". It matches the Rfam family "mir-395 microRNA precursor family". From Rfam's summary of the family: mir-395 was identified in both Arabidopsis thaliana and Oryza sativa computationally and was later experimentally verified. mir-395 is thought to target mRNAs coding for ATP sulphurylases. The mature sequence is excised from the 3' arm of the hairpin. The record is from Rfam by way of RNAcentral. Lineage: Eukaryota; Viridiplantae; Streptophyta; Magnoliopsida; Solanales; Convolvulaceae.
GUUUCCCCUGGAGUCCCUCUGAACACUUCAUUGGGAUUUUGAAGAUGGCCCUUUAAUUAUAGUAUAUUAUUGAAACAAGCUAACGGUGUCUGCCUGCUUAAUUGCCUACUGAAGUGUUUGGGAGAACUCUGGGAGUCAC